This 938-nucleotide long non-coding RNA is filed under the name Equus asinus (donkey). RNAcentral's name for it is "lncRNA (ENSEASG00005027857.1)". Lineage: Eukaryota; Metazoa; Chordata; Mammalia; Perissodactyla; Equidae. The record is from RNAcentral.
GGCCACAUGUGUCACUGCACGUGGGAUGCAGAACAGGGUGGGGAGUGGGAGGAGCGGGGGCUUGAAGCUGGGUCUGGCCAAGCCCUGGGGUUUGCCACCUUGUCACUCACACUCUGACGACCUUUUAAUCUUUUCAUAGAAAUACGGGGGAGAGAGAGUUCCAACAGGCAGCAAGGGGCCUAGGGGGUGGGGAGGAGGGCAGUGCCAGACAGACCAUGGCUUCUGCUGUAUCUGAGGGCCAUGCAGGGUCGCCCCCUUCUCCUCUCCCCCCUCCCAUCCCAGCCGUGGGGGAAGGGGUAGAGAGACAGAAGAAAAUUGGAAACCAGACAGGGCACAGGGUGCACUAGCUGCUGGGUUUCUCCCCAGCCCACUCUGAUCCGUAAAUAGCUUGCGCACCCAGCUGGCACCAGCCCACCCACCCUGCUGGUACCUGAUCGCCCCAUGCUAGAGACUCGGACCCCAGGUCCCGGGUCCCAGCUUCCCAAGGAAGCUAUUUCCUGCGUUUUCCCCAGGGUAAAGGCCCCUGCCGCCAGCUCCCUCUCCCCAGGGGCAUCCUCGCACUGCCUGGCUGAUGCCCGAGAACCCCGGCGCUUGCCAAGCACCCCGGGCCGCGCGCUCACCUCUCUCCAGGGCCAGAUCCCCUACCUGGGGGCAGGAGCGCCCGGCACCAUCGGCGGCGCCGCGGGGCAAAGCGAGGCGUCUGGGGCCCGGCCUCAAGCCCAGAAGACUUCCCCGGGGAAGAGGAGGUUGUGCUGCCGCGGCAGCCACCGCGUCUCUCCGGAUCUCGCCGGGGCUGCGGGAAGGAGGAAGUGCUGUGAAAUUCCCGUUAGACAGAAUUUUCAUCAUGUAAGGAGGCGAAUUCCCCAAGAGGAUCUUGAAGUGCAAUCUAGGGUGGAUAGACUCAAAUGUCUGCUCCCGCCGCCCACAGUACAUUCGCC